RNAcentral lists this ribosomal RNA (505 nucleotides) under uncultured bacterium. RNAcentral's name for it is "partial 16S ribosomal RNA". It matches the Rfam family "Bacterial small subunit ribosomal RNA", at positions 28 to 507 of the family's 1533-position model. The record is from RNAcentral.
GACGAACGCUGGCGGCGUGCCUAAUACAUGCAAGUAGAACGCACAGUUUAUACCGUAGCUUGCUACACCAUAGACUGUGAGUUGCGAACGGGUGAGUAACGCGUAGGUAACCUGCCUGGUAGCGGGGGAUAACUAUUGGAAACGAUAGCUAAUACCGCAUAAUAUUGAUUAUUGCAUGAUAAUUAAUUGAAAGGUGCAAUUGCACCACUACCAGAUGGACCUGCGUUGUAUUAGCUAGUAGGUGAGGUAACGGCUCACCUAGGCGACGAUACAUAGCCGACCUGAGAGGGUGAUCGGCCACACUGGGACUGAGACACGGCCCAGACUCCUACGGGAGGCAGCAGUAGGGAAUCUUCGGCAAUGGACGAAAGUCUGAACGAGCAACGCCGCGUGAGGGAAGAAGGUUUUCGGAUCGUAAAGCUCUGUUGUAAGAGAAGAACGGGUGUGAGAGUGGAAAGUUCACACUGUGACGGUAUCUUACCAGAAAGGGACGGCUAACUACGUG